AGUAAAGUGAUACAUAAUCAUCUAUAAAUCCACAAUUUAUCAUUUUAUUUUAAACUAACUUUAC
Molecule: transfer RNA, 64 nt
Filed under: Uroteuthis duvaucelii
Lineage: Eukaryota; Metazoa; Mollusca; Cephalopoda; Myopsida; Loliginidae
Description: tRNA-His
Source: RNAcentral